RNAcentral lists this ribosomal RNA (253 nucleotides) under Chitinophagaceae bacterium. Its description in RNAcentral is "partial 16S ribosomal RNA". It matches the Rfam family "Bacterial small subunit ribosomal RNA", at positions 524 to 776 of the family's 1533-position model. RNAcentral also lists the same sequence under 1 other name. The record is from RNAcentral. Lineage: Bacteria; Pseudomonadati; Bacteroidota; Chitinophagia; Chitinophagales; Chitinophagaceae.
UACGGAGGGUGCAAGCGUUAUCCGGAUUCACUGGGUUUAAAGGGUGCGUAGGCGGGUAUAUAAGUCAGUGGUGAAAGCUCCGGGCUUAACUUGGAAAUUGCCAUUGAUACUGUAUAUCUUGAAUAUCGUAGAGGUUAGCGGAAUGUUGCAUGUAGCGGUGAAAUGCUUAGAUAUGUUACAGAACACCAAUUGCGAAGGCAGCUAACUAUGCGAUGAUUGACGCUGAGGCACGAAAGCGUGGGGAGCAAACAGG